AUAAAAAAUAAAAUAAAGAUAUUGAGUCCAACUACAACUAAAAAAAAAAUGGCUCUAGGCCAUGGUCAUCAUUGGAAGCUAAGUUUACUGCAUGAAAGUGAUAGGGAACUUUAUAAUUGACAUUUCAGGCUGGUACCACCUGAAACUGAUAGGCAAUCACAGCAUAAUUCAAGAAUAGUACAAUGCAGAAUGGUUUAUGAUGCAAUAGUAAGUGCUGCAUUAUAAUACUCUGCUGUGUUUUUGUCAGAAAAGUGCAUCUGAAUCACCAGACUUCACUCUCUGUUUAUAGGAGCUAUAAGCUAUCAUGGAGGAACAAAUUAAAAUUUACUACAAUGAACCAACAACCAAACCCAGUAUAUAGAAUAUUCUAUAACUUAAUAACCUGGCUUCUCACAAAACUGAGUGGAAAAACUGUUAAAUAUCUUUUUAGAAUGAAAAAAAUUAUGCACAUAAAACAAUAAAUAAAAUGUAUAUAUAUUGGGUCUUGAUUCAAAUAAAACAACUUCCAAAAGGAACAUUUACAUCAGUAGGAAAAAUUUGAAUAUUAUUUUAAGAUGAAGGUACUUAAGCUACAUAGUUGUCUAAGAUAAAGAUUACCAAAUGGAAGAGCUAAAUAAUAUGUUUAAUGGCAAUACUUGUAAAAUGUGUUUGAGAUAAAAUUCUGAAAUCAAGAAUAUCCCAAUAGACAUAGAGGCAUGAUUGAGGUUCUAAAAAGUAGGUAAAUUCUGUUGAAAACAAGUUAUAUAAUUGAAUUUGAUUUGAUUAGAGAACCAAUAUCAGCAGACAUAUUUGGGUUCAUUGCUCAGAAAGCUCACACAGUAUUAUACUGCUGUUUUGGUCAGUUUUGUUGCUGCGGUGACUAAAGGAUCUGACCAGAACAACUGUAGAUGAGGAAGAGUUUAUUUGAGGGUUCAUGGUUUCCGAGAUCUUAGUCCAUAGAAGGCUGGCUCCAUUUCUCACCAUUUCAGGUGAGGCUGAACACGGCAGAAGAGUGUGGAAGAGGGAAGCCACUCAGAUCACUGUCAUAAGGCAGCAGAGAGAGAGACUGUGCUUGCCAGAUACAAAUAUAUAUCCCAAAGCUACGCCUCAAUUCCCAUCUCUUCCAGUCACACCCUACCACUUCAGUUACUAUUCAGUUAACCCCUUUGAGUGAAGUAAACCCUUGGGUUAAGAUUUUCACAACCUAAUCAUUUCUCCUCCAAAACUUGCAUUGUCUCACACAUGAGCUUUUGGGGGACAUCUCAUCUAAACCAUAACACCUGCAUUAAUAAAUAUACCUUCUACAAGAUGCAUUUAGUAUUUUUUUCAUUAUACUCUUGUCAGACUGUAUCAGCAAUCCCUCCCUCCAUAACAAUAGUUCUCCCUAGACUCAUUUGUCACUAUCUGCAAAAGGUACAUGUUCAUUUUUUUUUAAAGUAAGGUUUAUUGAUACAGAAUUUACUACAAUCAACUGAUUUUCUCCUGUAAAGUUCUUUGGGUUUUGAUAAAUUCACCUAAUUGUGAAUGCAGCACCAUACAACAAUCAUUGUACAUAAUGUGUGUGUCUUAUCAGCACAAAAACAUCAUGCAAAAAAUCCUUUUAGCAAAACCUUAUCCUUAUCCCAACCCAUGGAAAUCUGUUUUCUGUUCUUAUAGAUUGUAUUCCCAUGGUUGAUAUGUAAAUGAGAUAAGAAAUAUUCAUCAUUUAGAAUUUGGCUUCUUUCAUUUAGUGUAAUGAAUUGUUAUUCAUUUUGCAUAUGUUAGUAGUUAAUUUAUUUUUAUUACUGAGUAGUAUUGCUCUGUAUGGAUAUACCACAUUUUGUGUAAUCAUUUGCAACUGAAAGAAAAAUUUGGGUGGCUUCCACUUUGUAGCUAUGAUCAAUAGAGUCACUGUAAACAUUUAUGUAUAGGAUUUUAAGUGAAGGUAAACUUUAAUUUCUUGAAGAUAAAUAUGUAACAGUGGGAUUUCUGAAUCACCAUGGCAAGUGUGUAUUUAACCUUAUAAAUAAAUGACAAACUAUUUUGAACAAUAGUUGUACAGUUUUGGAUUCUUUCUAGCAAUAUAUGAAAGUUCCAAUUGUUCCACAUCUUUGUCAGCACUCACUACUGUCACUUUUUAAAAUUUAAACCAUUCUACUUGGGGUUGAAGUGGAUUUGAUUGUGAUUAUUAGCAUAUCCUUAAUGAUUAAUAAUGUUGAGUCUGCUUUCAUUGCUUAGUUUCUAUCUGUAUACCUUCUUUUGUGAUGUAUGUGUUCACAUAUUAUAAAUUAAAUUAUAAAUUAAAUCUUUUUAUCAUUUAAUUUGGAUCAUUCCCUGUGGGUACUAAACAUAAAACUUCCUUAUCAUGUUAAUUUUCCAAAUAUUUUCUCAAUUUAAUAACCGUUAUUUUGUUUUCUUAGCAAUGUAAAAGUUAUUUUUUAUGAAGCCAUAUUGUAUAUGUGUAUAUAUAUGUAUAUAUGUAAUUUUUAGACAACUUGUACUUUGGGUAUUAUAUCCAAAUAAGUUUUCUCAAUCCGGGAUUAUAGUUUUCCCUCCAGUUUUCCUUCUAGGAGUGUUAUAGUUUUAGAAUUUAUAUUUAGGUCUAUGAUUAAUUUUGUGUUAAUUAUUUUAUAUAGUUCAAAGAAUAAAUUGAGACUUAUUAUGUGACAUAUGGAUACCUAAUUGGUUUAACAUUAUUUAUUGAAAACACUAUUCUUUCUCCAUAGAAUUGCCUUUGAACUUUUGUUGAAAAUAAAUGGACCAUGUAUACA
RNAcentral lists this long non-coding RNA (2729 nucleotides) under Marmota monax (woodchuck). Lineage: Eukaryota; Metazoa; Chordata; Mammalia; Rodentia; Sciuridae. The record is from RNAcentral.